CCUACGGGAGGCAGCAGUGGGGAAUUUUGGACAAUGGGCGCAAGCCUGAUCCAGCAAUGCCGCGUGCAGGAUGAAGGCCUUCGGGUUGUAAACUGCUUUUGUACGGAACGAAAAGUCUUGGGUUAAUACCCUGGGAUCAUGACGGUACCGUAAGAAUAAGCACCGGCUAACUACGUGCCAGCAGCCGCGGUAAUACGUAGGGUGCAAGCGUUAAUCGGAAUUACUGGGCGUAAAGCGUGCGCAGGCGGUUUUGUAAGACAGUGGUGAAAUCCCCGGGCUCAACCUGGGAACUGCCAUUAUGACUGCAAGGCUGGAGUGCGGCAGAGGGGGAUGGAAUUCCGCGUGUAGCAGUGAAAUGCGUAGAUAUGCGGAGGAACACCGAUGGCGAAGGCAAUCCCCUGGGCCUGCACUGACGCUCAUGCACGAAAGCGUGGGGAGCAAACAGGAUUAGAUACCCUGGUAGUCCACGCCCUAAACGAUGUCAACUGGUUGUUGGGAAUUUAUUUUCUCAGUAACGAAGCUAACGCGUGAAGUUGACCGCCUGGGGAGUACGGCCGCAAGGUUAAAACUCAAAUGAAUUGACGG
This 585-nucleotide ribosomal RNA is filed under the name uncultured bacterium. RNAcentral's name for it is "bacterial SSU rRNA". It matches the Rfam family "Bacterial small subunit ribosomal RNA", at positions 338 to 916 of the family's 1533-position model. The record is from RNAcentral.